ACGGGUGAGUAACACGUGAGCAACCUGCCCUGGACUCUGGGAUAAGCGCUGGAAACGGUGUCUAAUACUGGAUAUGAGACGUGAUCGCAUGGUCGUGUUUGGAAAGAUUUUUCGGUCUGGGAUGGGCUCGCGGCCUAUCAGCUUGUUGGUGAGGUAAUGGCUCACCAAGGCGUCGACGGGUAGCCGGCCUGAGAGGGUGACCGGCCACACUGGGACUGAGACACGGCCCAGACUCCUACGGGAGGCAGCAGUGGGGAAUAUUGCACAAUGGGCGAAAGCCUGAUGCAGCAACGCCGCGUGAGGGAUGACGGCCUUCGGGUUGUAAACCUCUUUUAGUAGGGAAGAAGCGAAAGUGACGGUACCUGCAGAAAAAGCGCCGGCUAACUACGUGCCAGCAGCCGCGGUAAUACGUAGGGCGCAAGCGUUAUCCGGAAUUAUUGGGCGUAAAGAGCUCGUAGGCGGUUUGUCGCGUCUGCUGUGAAAUCCCGAGGCUCAACCUCGGGCCUGCAGUGGGUACGGGCAGACUAGAGUGCGGUAGGGGAGAUUGGAAUUCCUGGUGUAGCGGUGGAAUGCGCAGA
This 578-nucleotide ribosomal RNA is filed under the name Microbacterium sp. SDB-004. RNAcentral describes it as "bacterial SSU rRNA". It matches the Rfam family "Bacterial small subunit ribosomal RNA", at positions 102 to 694 of the family's 1533-position model. Lineage: Bacteria; Bacillati; Actinomycetota; Actinomycetes; Micrococcales; Microbacteriaceae. RNAcentral also lists the same sequence under 4 other names. The record is from RNAcentral.